UCAACGUUUCAAAAGCUUUACAUGAGGUAAGACUUCAAAUUUUCAUUGUUUUAUUGAUUUCAACGAUAUCGACAUGCAUAUAGCUGCGUUAUGAAUGAUAUCCAUUAAAAACAAAUAUGAUUGAUGAUGAGAAUCACACACCUAAUAAACCUUAGCCACAUUAGAUUUCAAAGAUCCCUUGAUUUUAAAAGCAACGUAACAACCUAAUCUCUUCCUCUAAUUCAAUGAUUAAGUAACUAAAUCCAUUCCCAUGAUUUGAUCAAAGAAAAAGAAGAGGAAUCAUGACACACCUCGACCUAGAUCGAGGCAUGCUAGCUGUCACGUGAGGGUAACAUAGCAAUGUGCACAGUGCGAAAGCAAUAAUGAUAUAUAGAAAUGCGAAUAAAUAAAACCGAACCAACUAAAGCACUAGAUACGGUAAGGUGCAAGACGAGAAUAUGUGUGACUACACAUAAUCAAAGCAUAAGUAGCCUAAGUGCAGUCCAACAGGAUAAAGAUGGUCCUACACUAGUGAUAAUCUGUCAGAGUUGCCUUGAAUUCCUCGUGAGCCACCAACAAGCACUCCUACCUAAAACCUGGAGAGGCGCAAAACAGAAAGUGUGAGUGGGCAAAAACAAAGCUUUUCAAAACCAUUUCAUUUAUCAAAAGUUCUAACCCCUCACCGUAAAACCUAUAUAAAUUCCCAGAAAAUAGAAUAUAUAGACAUAUCUCAAAACUAUGCUCAGAAUAGUGGAAAUCAUAGUAUACCAUGCCAUAUAUCUCAAAGUAACAAAAUAAGUAACUCAAGUGAAAUAAUCUCAUGAAAUAUAACAUAUCAGCCGGAUCCAUCUAAAGUGGCCUGUACGGCUGAAUCUAUAGCUCAACAAGUAUGCCUGCACACGAGUUGGAACCACCUAAUGUGGUUUGUACGAUAGGACUGGGUGUAAAUAAAUACGCUCUAGUGCUACGAUCACGUGAAGACUGUGCGAAUAAUCGCAGGUCACCUACAAGUCGAAACCACCUAUAGUGGUCUGUACGACAAGAUUAUGCACCUAACUUGGAUCCAAGGUGAGCGUAUGGUGUGGGAGGUGAAUGAUGAGUAGAUUUUAUAUUAUAUAUUUUACCCUAACCUUAGUAUAUUUUGGUUAAUAUAUUGGAAGAAUUUUGAUACUUUGAAUUGUAUUUUCAAUAUAGGACUUCCGACUUCCUCUGGAGCAAAACAGGAUCAAAUGGACGAAUUUUGGAGUAAUUCCAGUUGGAGGACGUUCGUGAGUCACUUAGCUUGAUCGUAUCAAAAUUUGGGAUUUUUCCACAAAGCGGUUAUUUUCUGGCGAUGAAAUAAAGAAGCAGUGCGCAGUGCUGG
This 1342-nucleotide long non-coding RNA is filed under the name Malus domestica (apple). RNAcentral's name for it is "long non-coding RNA (MDOM_LNC019661)". The record is from RNAcentral. Lineage: Eukaryota; Viridiplantae; Streptophyta; Magnoliopsida; Rosales; Rosaceae.